Molecule: ribosomal RNA, 253 nt
Filed under: uncultured bacterium
Lineage: Bacteria
Description: partial 16S ribosomal RNA
Rfam family: Bacterial small subunit ribosomal RNA
Source: RNAcentral
UACGUAGGGUGCGAGCGUUGUCCGGAAUUAUUGGGCGUAAAGAGCUCGUAGGCGGUGUGUCACGUCGUUCGUGAAAACCUGCAGCUUAACUGUGGCGUGCGGUCGAUACGGGCAUCACUGGAGUUCGGCAGGGGAGACUGGAAUUCCUGGUGUAGCGGUGAAAUGCGCAGAUAUCAGGAGGAACACCGGUGGCGAAGGCGGAUCUCUGGGCCGAUACUGACGCUGAGGAGCGAAAGCGUGGGGAGCGAACAGG